AUACGUAGGGUGCGAGCGUUGUCCGGAAUUACUGGGCGUAAAGCGCUCGUAGGUGGUUUGUCGCGUCGUCUGUGAAAUUCCGGGGCUUAACUCCGGGCGUGCAGGCGAUACGGGCAUAACUUGAGUACUGUAGGGGAGACUGGAAUUCCUGGUGUAGCGGUGAAAUGCGCAGAUAUCAGGAAGAACACCGGUGGCGAAGGCGGCUAUCUGGACAGUAACUGACGCUGAGGCGCGAAAGCAUGGGUAGCGAACAGGAUUAGAUCCCCUGGUAGUCCAUGCCGUAAACGGUGGGCGCUAGGUGUAGGGGUCUUCCACGACUUCUGUGCCGUAGCUAACGCAUUAAGCGCCCCGCCUGGGGAGUACGGCCGCAAGGCUAAAACUCAAAGGAAUUGACGGGG
Molecule: ribosomal RNA, 398 nt
Filed under: uncultured bacterium
Lineage: Bacteria
Description: partial 16S ribosomal RNA
Rfam family: Bacterial small subunit ribosomal RNA
Source: RNAcentral